RNAcentral lists this ribosomal RNA (301 nucleotides) under uncultured bacterium. RNAcentral describes it as "partial 16S ribosomal RNA". It matches the Rfam family "Bacterial small subunit ribosomal RNA", at positions 509 to 808 of the family's 1533-position model. The record is from RNAcentral.
CAGCAGCGCGGGAAUACAGAGGGUGCAAGCGUUAAUCGGAAUUACUGGGCGUAAAGCGCGCGUAGGUGGUUCGCCAAGUUGGAUGUGAAAUCCCCGGGCUCAACCUGGGAACUGCAUCCAAAACUGGCGAGCUAGAGUAUGGUAGAGGGUGGUGGAAUUUCCUGUGUAGCGGUGAAAUGCGUAGAUAUAGGAAGGAACAUCAGUGGCGAAGGCGACCACCUGGACUGAUACUGACACUGAGGUGCGAAAGCGUGGGGAGCAAACAGGAUUAGAUACCCGCGUAGUCCCUGUCUCUUAUACA